GACGAACGCUGGCGGCGUGCUUAACACAUGCAAGUCGAACGGAAAGGCCCUGCUUUUGUGGGGUGCUCGAGUGGCGAACGGGUGAGUAACACGUGAGUAACCUGCCCUUGACUUUGGGAUAACUUCAGGAAACUGGGGCUAAUACCGGAUAGGAGCUCCUGCUGCAUGGUGGGGGUUGGAACGUUUCGGCGGUUGGGGAUGGACUCGCGGCUUACCAGCUUGUUGGUGGGGUAGCGGCUUACCCAGGCUUGGACGGGUAGCCGGCCUGAGAGGGUGACCGGCCACAUUGGGACUGGGAGGCGGCAGAGGCUCCUACGGGAGGCAGCGGUGGAGAAUAUUGCACAAUGGGCGGGAGCGUUAUGCAGCAACGCCGCGUGCGAGAUGACGGAAUUCGGGUUGAAAGCCGCUUUCGCCUGUGACGAAGGGUGAGUGACGGUAAAGAGUAAAGAGGCACGGGCUAACUACG
Molecule: ribosomal RNA, 466 nt
Filed under: uncultured bacterium
Lineage: Bacteria
Description: partial 16S ribosomal RNA
Rfam family: Bacterial small subunit ribosomal RNA
Source: RNAcentral